AUUGAACGCUGGCGGCAGGCCUAACACAUGCAAGUCGAGCGGAUGAAGGGAGCUUGCUCCUGGAUUCAGCGGCGGACGGGUGAGUAAUGCCUAGGAAUCUGCCUGGUAGUGGGGGAUAACGUCCGGAAACGGGCGCUAAUACCGCAUACGUCCUGAGGGAGAAAGUGGGGGAUCUUCGGACCUCACGCUAUCAGAUGAGCCUAGGUCGGAUUAGCUAGUUGGUGGGGUAAAGGCCUACCAAGGCGACGAUCCGUAACUGGUCUGAGAGGAUGAUCAGUCACACUGUAACUGAGACACGGUCCAGACUCCUACGGGAGGCAGCAGUGGGGAAUAUUGGACGAUGGGCGAAAGCCUGAUCCAGCCAUGCCGCGUGUGUGAAGAAGGUCUUCGGAUUGUAAAGCACUUUAAGUUGGGAGGAAGGGCAGUAAGUUAAUACCUUGCUGUUUUGACGUUACCAACAGAAUAAGCACCGGCUAACUUCGUG
This 484-nucleotide ribosomal RNA is filed under the name uncultured bacterium. RNAcentral's name for it is "partial 16S ribosomal RNA". It matches the Rfam family "Bacterial small subunit ribosomal RNA", at positions 30 to 507 of the family's 1533-position model. The record is from RNAcentral.